GUACUCGAGUGGCGAACGGGUGAGUAACACGUGGGUGAUCUGCCCUGCACUUUGGGAUAAGCCUGGGAAACUGGGUCUAAUACCGAAUAUGACCACGCAUUUCAUGGUGUGUGGUGGAAAGCUUUUGCGGUGUGGGAUGGGCCCGCGGCCUAUCAGCUUGUUGGUGGGGUAAUGGCCUACCAAGGCGACGACGGGUAGCCGGCCUGAGAGGGUGACCGGCCACACUGGGACUGAGAUACGGCCCAGACUCCUACGGGAGGCAGCAGUGGGGAAUAUUGCACAAUGGGCGCAAGCCUGAUGCAGCGACGCCGCGUGAGGGAUGACGGCCUUCGGGUUGUAAACCUCUUUCAAUAGGGACGAAGCGCAAGUGACGGUACCUAUAGAAGAAGGACCGGCCAACUACGUGCCAGCAGCCGCGGUAAUACGUAGGGUCCGAGCGUUGUCCGGAAUUACUGGGCGUAAAGAGCUCGUAGGUGGUUUGUCGCGUUGUUCGUGAAAACUCACAGCUUAACUGUGGGCGUGCGGGCGAUACGGGCAGACUAGAGUACUGCAGGGGAGACUGGAAUUCCUGGUGUAGCGGUGGAAUGCGCAGAUAUCAGGAGGAACACCGGUGGCGAAGGCGGGUCUCUGGGCAGUAACUGACGCUGAGGAGCGAAAGCGUGGGGAGCGAACAGGAUUAGAUACCCUGGUAGUCCACGCCGUAAACGGUG
This 710-nucleotide ribosomal RNA is filed under the name Mycobacterium sp. RNAcentral's name for it is "bacterial SSU rRNA". It matches the Rfam family "Bacterial small subunit ribosomal RNA", at positions 87 to 811 of the family's 1533-position model. The record is from RNAcentral. Lineage: Bacteria; Bacillati; Actinomycetota; Actinomycetes; Mycobacteriales; Mycobacteriaceae.